This is a long non-coding RNA of Solanum dulcamara, 3222 nucleotides long. RefSeq lists it as uncharacterized. The record is from RefSeq and is a predicted model, not a curated record. The transcript has 3 exons. Lineage: Eukaryota; Viridiplantae; Streptophyta; Magnoliopsida; Solanales; Solanaceae.
UUCAAUUGAUCUUCAUUGUAAAGCUUCACUGUGAAUUCUAAUGAGAGGUUUCCAGAAUUCUCAAUGAUUCUCCUUUGCGUGUGCAUCUGUUGAUUAGUUUGACAUGGUAUCAUAGCUAUUCACGCAAUUCUAAGAAUCACAACUUUCUGUUAAAAGCUCGAAGGUUAAAGAAUAAUGACGAAGAAGAUCGAUCAUGACCAUUCUUUGUAUAUUACCCCUUCUGAUGGACCAAGAGUUGUGCAAAUCGGGAUACAGCUCAUCGGAAUGGAGAAUUACACUUUAUGGAGUCAUGCCAUGUAACUGAAUUUGCUCAUGAAGAACAAAUUGGGGUUUAUCGAUGACAGCAUCAAGAGAGAUGAUUUCAAGGACGAAAGUGAGAAGAUUGGGACAGGUACAAUGCGAUGGUUCUCUCAUGGAUUAUGAGCAAUGUUAGCAAGGAACUAGUUAGUGGAAUCCUUUUUCGCUCAAAUGCAUCUCUCGUGUGGUCAGAUCUGAAAGAAUGAUUUGAUAAGGUUAAUAUGUCCAGAAUUUUUAUCUACACAAAGCCAUAGUCCCACAUACUCUAGGUAUUUCUCUUGUUUCUGUCUAUUACUCACAAUUAAAAGACCUAUGGUAUGAAUUUGAUUCAAUAGUAAGCUCUUCAUCCUGCGAUGUGAAUUAUCAAAGGAAUACACUGAUAGUAUGAGUAGAUAAAAGCUGUUACAAUUUCUCAUGGGCUUGAAUGAUAGUUAUAUGGAUAGGCUCGAAGUCAAAUUCUUAUGAUGAAUCGACCACCUAGUGUAAAUCAGUGUUAUGCUUUAAUUGUAUAAGAUGAGAGUCAGCGAGCCUUAAGUGGUGAGUAUCAUGGAGGAGGUGCCAGUACUGAUUCCACUACAUUACUGACUAGUAGAUUUGGAGGUUUUAGCUUUGGAGGAUCAGAUUCUAGAGGAAGGGGAGGAAGAGGUUAUGGUCAUGUUCAUCGACAACAAAGAGGAGGUGGACCUUAUUGUGAUCAUUGUGCGAUGAAAGGACACACUAGAGAGGAUUAUAACAAGUUGAAACAUUGUACUCAUUGCAAUAUACAAGGUCAUACAAAGGAAAUUUGUUAUCAGUGGAUUGGAUAUCCUCCGGAUUAGGAAGAAAAGAAAAGAGUUCACAUGGUUCAAGCAUCAAAUGGAUCACAAGCAGAAGAAAUGAAUACUCCCUAGAUGUAAGGCUGCAGAGGAAUAGAAGUUUGCAGUACAAUUAUUAUUCUCAGCCUGGAACAAGUACUGAAGUUGGAUUUGUUCCAUAUUUCACACCUAACCAGUACAAUCAAAUUUUGCAAAUGCUAAACAAAUCAAAUAUAAUGAGUCAAGUGCAAACAUGGAAGGUAUAUUUGCAGAUCUCUUCACUAGGAAAGUGAAAGACAUUGGUAAAAAAGAGGAUGGACUGAAUUUUUUGAAGACUCAAAAUCAAACUCCAGCACAAGAAGCAAGGCCACUAGUGGCAGCAAAAAGAGGCUCACUCCUCAGAUGUUUUGUAGAAUAGUGUGCUCAUGUCCCAGACACUAUGGGUGGUGAACUAGAUAUGGAGCCUUCCUCUAGAUCUAUGGAGGACAAGACAAUUUCUCCAACUACUAUACAUGAAGAUGACAUUGUAGACCAUAUAAUUUCACCAAUUGUGUCAGAGAUUGAACCUACUCAUGUUGUUCAAGAAGAUGGAGGGAACAAGUGGUCCAUCCUAGUGACAUACCACAACAUGUGCAGAGAAGAUCAGUCAGAGCAAGCAAGGCUCCAAUCUAGCAGAAGGAUUUUGUUAUUUCAGGAAAUCCUAAACAAUCAAAUUUCAUUUUGGACAGUAUUGAUUAUAUGUCUUUCAAAGUCAUAUCAAUGUUACAUUGUCAAUUCUUUAGUGGAAAGUGAACUAAAUACUUACCAUGCUGCUAUGCAUGAUGACAGAUGGAUUCAAGCCAUGAAGAAAGAGAUUAAAGCACUUAAAGAUAACAAGAUAUAGGAACUUGUUACAUUACCUCCUGAUAAGAAGGCUAUUGAAUGCAAGUGGGUGUACAAAAUUAAAUACAAAGCUGAUGGAAAAAUUGAGAGAUUUAAGGCCAGAUUAGUAACCAAGGGGUAUAACCAAAAGGAGGGCUUGGAUUAUCAGAAAAUAUUUUCUCCUGUGGUCAAAAUGGUCACUGUUAGGACAAUACUAUCUAUUGCUGCAAAAAAGGGUUGGAAUGUCCUAUAGAUGGAUGUUUAUAAUGCCUUCUUGCAGAGAGAUCUGAUAGAAGAAGUGUACAUGCAAUUGCCUCAGAGGUUUCAGCACACUAAAGAAGAACAGGGUCUAGUAGUAAACUACUUAAGUCACUCUAUGGACUCAAGUAGGAUUCCAGGCAAUGGAAUGUCAAGUUGACCAAUACUUUGCUUGCAAUAGGAUUUCAGCAAAGUCAUUUUGACUAUUCCCUCAUGACUAAGAAAGUUGGUGAUGAUAUUGUAGCAAUACUCAUAUAUAUGGAUAAUCUCCUUGUGACAGGAAGUAACAGUCUAUACCAGAAGGUCAAUAAUUGGUUAUUUGAUCAAGUAUGGCAAUUCACCAAUCUCAUGGAAGUCUAAGAAACAAUCCAUGAUUUCUAGGAGCUCAGCAGAGGCAGAAUAUAAGAGUCUUGCCUCCACUGUUGCAGAGGUCACUUGGAUCAUAGGCUUGUUCAAUACAUUUGAUAUACCAUUGACCUUACCUGUUCCUUUGCAUUAUUCUAAUAAAGAAGCUAUCCAAAUAGUUGUUAACCCUGUUUUUCAUGAACGAACGAAGCACAUCGAUAUUGAUUGUUAUUUUAUUCGAGAAAAGGUCCUGAAAGGUCUUGUGAGCAUCCAAUACUUAUGCUGUUCUGAGCAGCCUGCAGAUGUUCUUAUUAAAGGCCUUGGUAGGAUUCAACACUCCUAUUUGGUAUCCAAGCUAGGAAUGAAGAAUAUCUUCAUAUCACCUAGCUUGAAGGGGGCUAUUAGAGAAUAUAACAAGGAAAUAGCAAAUAGUUGAUUCAUAGCCAGCUGUCCCAGUUAGUUAUUUAGUUAGCUAUAGUUAGUUAGUUAGCUAGUUGUCACUAUUAUGAUAGUUUGUUAGAAGAUAUUUUUUACUGAUUGAUGUAUGUAUAUAGAUGCAUAGGAACUGAUUCAUUCAUUCAAUUGAUCUUCAUUGUAAAGCCUCACUGUGAAUUCUAAUGAGAGGUUUCCAGAAUUCUCAAUGAUUCUCCUUUGUGUGUGCAUCUGC